ACUGCUCAGUAACACGUAGUCAACAUGCCCAAAGGACGUGGAUAACCUCGGGAAACUGAGGAUAAACCGCGAUAGGCCAAGGUUUCUGGAAUGAGCCAUGGCCGAAAUCUACAUGGCCUUUGGAUUGGACUGCGGCCGAUCAGGCUGUUGGUGAGGUAAUGGCCACCAAACCUGUAACCGGUACGGGCUUUGAGAGAAGGAGCCCGGAGAUGGGCACUGAGACAAGGGCCCAGGCCCUAUGGGGCGCAGCAGGCGCGAAACCUCUGCAAUAGGCGAAAGCCUGACAGGGUUACUCUGAGUGAUGCCCGCUAAGGGUAUCUUUUGGCACCUCUAAAAAUGGUGCAGAAUAAGGGGUGGGCAAGUCUGGUGUCAGCCGCCGCGGUAAUACCAGCACCCCGAGUUGUCGGGACGAUUAUUGGGCCUAAAGCAUCCGUAGCCUGUUCUGCAAGUCCUCCGUUAAAUCCACCUGCUUAACGGAUGGGCUGCGGGGGAUACUGCAGAGCUAGGAGGCGGGAGAGGCAAACGGUACUCAGUGGGUAGGGGUAAAAUCCAUUGAUCUACUGAAGACCACCAGUGGCGAAGGCGGUUUGCCAGAACGCGCUCGACGGUGAGGGAUGAAAGCUGGGGGAGCAAACCGGAUUAGAUACCCGGGUAGUCCCAGCUGUAAACGAUGCAGACUCGGUGAUGGGUUGGCCUCGAGCCAACCCAGUGCCGCAGGGAAGCCGUUAAGUCUGCCGCCUGGGGAGUACGGUCGCAAGACUGAAACUUAAAGGAAUUGGCGGGGGAGCAC
RNAcentral lists this ribosomal RNA (790 nucleotides) under uncultured archaeon. Its description in RNAcentral is "bacterial SSU rRNA". It matches the Rfam family "Archaeal small subunit ribosomal RNA", at positions 85 to 879 of the family's 1478-position model. The record is from RNAcentral.